Long non-coding RNA from Gallus gallus (chicken), 777 nucleotides. Lineage: Eukaryota; Metazoa; Chordata; Aves; Galliformes; Phasianidae. The record is from Ensembl.
AGUAAAAUCAGCCUCAGAAGAAAGAGAAUAUUUAUGAGCAGAAUGGAGUUCCAUUUGAAGCAAGGACAACUUUCUCCAUAGGGAGGAAAAUAAAGUUAUGGAACAUCUAAAUAGAUUGCGAGAAUGCAAAACCAUGAGAUGUACUCAGAGGUGCUGGACAAUGUCAUUGGAACUAAUCCUUGAUUAUCUUUGAAGUGUUGUAGCAAUUGGAGAACAUUCUUGAGGACUGUAAUAAUCCAGGACUGCAUUACUGCUGUACUCAGGCAGAGAGAGAAAGAAGAUCUGGGGAAACUAGAAACCUGUCAUGCUCACAAUAGGAAAGUGAUAGAGCAAAUCUUCCUAGAAGACAUUUUCAAACACAUGAAGUUAAAGAAGUCAUAAACAAUCUCUGUCUGAUCACAGUUCUACAAGUGUAGCAAUUAUUUUCUAAUCAAUUUCAGAGGCAUAGAUCUUGGAACAAAAAUACAGUUUCAAAAGACUUUUAAGAGAAGCACACAAGCAGUAUUUCCUGAUUUUUCCUGACUUGAACUCUUCAGAAGAAUGUUUGAAUGGAUUUUCCUCAGCCUUUCUCCUCAGAAGCCAUUGGCUGAGUUCAGUAAUGGAAAAUUUCAGCCUAGAAAGAAGAACCUUUCAGAAACACAGAAGUAAGGGACUUGGAGCAGAAACUGUUUUGCAACUUUAACCACAGUACUACGUCAGCUUCCACAUGGAUGCUAUGAUACAGACAUAACAUUGUUUUACACAUGCAGUCUUUGAAGAUGAGGCAAUUACUCUUAG